RNAcentral lists this ribosomal RNA (253 nucleotides) under uncultured bacterium. RNAcentral describes it as "partial 16S ribosomal RNA". It matches the Rfam family "Bacterial small subunit ribosomal RNA", at positions 524 to 776 of the family's 1533-position model. The record is from RNAcentral.
UACGGAGGGUGCGAGCGUUGUCCGGAAUCACUGGGCGUAAAGGGCGCGUAGGCGGCGCGAGCAGUCGAUCGUGAAAGUCCGGAGCUCAACUCCGGAUCGGCGGUCGAUACUCUCGUGCUUGAGCACUGUAGAGGCAGAUGGAAUUCCGGGUGUAGCGGUGGAAUGCGUAGAGAUCCGGAAGAACACCGGUGGCGAAGGCGGUCUGCUGGGCAGUAGCUGACGCUGAUGCGCGGCAGCGUGGGGAGCAAACAGG